RNAcentral lists this ribosomal RNA (376 nucleotides) under uncultured bacterium. RNAcentral describes it as "partial 16S ribosomal RNA". It matches the Rfam family "Bacterial small subunit ribosomal RNA", at positions 338 to 706 of the family's 1533-position model. The record is from RNAcentral.
CCUACGGGAGGCAGCAGUGGGGAAUAUUGCGCAAUGGGCGAAAGCCUGACGCAGCGACGCCGCGUGAGGGAUGAAGGUCUUCGGAUCGUAAACCUCUGUCAGCAGGGAAGAAAGGUCACUGUGCUAAUCAGCAGUGAAUUGACGGUACCUGCAAAGGAAGCACCGGCUAACUCCGUGCCAGCAGCCGCGGUAAUACGGAGGGUGCGAGCGUUAAUCGGAAUGACUGGGCGUAAAGCGGUCGUAGGCGGUAUGUCAAGUCAAGGGUGAAAUCCCCGGGCUCAACGUGGGAACUGCCUUUGAUACUGGCAAGCUGGAGUGUGUGAGAGGAUGGUGGAAUUCGAGGUGUAGGGGUGAAAUCCGUAGAUAUCUGGAGGAA